UUACUUACGGAUAAAGAUUUCCUCCAAACUAGGUUGGAGGAAGUUGCUCCAAUCCAAUUUGGAGAAAAACUGUCCCCCUUAAAAAGAUUAAAAAAAAGUUGUGUUCAAAAUUGUGUAAAUUUAUGAAAUCUUGCUUUGCACAUUGAAUGUUGCAUUCUUUGUUUAGUCGCAUAAUUGGGUUAUUCAGUCAUAAUUUACUUGAUUACCGGUCCUAUAACAAAUGUUACAAAAUUUCUUACUGGUUCAAAACGAGCCUUUAGAUAACGUGGCCUCAAACUUCCAAGCUCCACAAAUGAAAAAGCUAAAGGCUGCAUUACAUACAGAUAAAUUCAUUAACAGAAUACUCUGCUUAACUAUUUUAGCCCCUGCCCUCCAACCUUCCUGCUCAUGUCUCUGUCCUUGUAUGUCUUUGUGCUCGUGCGCACGUGUUUUAAUUUUUGCUUCAAAAGGAAGAAAAGUUAUUCUAAAAUGCUAACCAGACAAUUUGCUAAUAAUUACCAC
This 501-nucleotide long non-coding RNA is filed under the name Betula platyphylla (Asian white birch). RNAcentral's name for it is "salt induced long non-coding RNA 11". Lineage: Eukaryota; Viridiplantae; Streptophyta; Magnoliopsida; Fagales; Betulaceae. The record is from RNAcentral.